AGUCGAGCGAACUGAUUAGAAGCUUGCUUCUAUGACGUUAGCGGCGGACGGGUGAGUAACACGUGGGCAACCUGCCUGUAAGACUGGGAUAACUUCGGGAAACCGAAGCUAAUACCGGAUAACAUCAUUCCUUGCAUAAGGAAUGAUUGAAAGAUGGUUUCGGCUAUCACUUACAGAUGGGCCCGCGGUGCAUUAGCUAGUUGGUGAGGUAACGGCUCACCAAGGCAACGAUGCAUAGCCGACCUGAGAGGGUGAUCGGCCACACUGGGACUGAGACACGGCCCAGACUCCUACGGGAGGCAGCAGUAGGGAAUCUUCCGCAAUGGACGAAAGUCUGACGGAGCAACGCCGCGUGAGUGAUGAAGGCUUUCGGGUCGUAAAACUCUGUUGUUAGGGAAGAACAAGUAUGAGAGUAACUGCUCGUACCUUGACGGUACCUAACCAGAAAGCCACGGCUAACUACGUGCCAGCAGCCGCGGUAAUACGUAGGUGGCAAGCGUUAUCCGGAAUUAUUGGGCGUAAAGCGCGCGCAGGCGGUUUCUUAAGUCUGAUGUGAAAGCCCACGGCUCAACCGUGGAGGGUCAUUGGAAA
This 591-nucleotide ribosomal RNA is filed under the name Bacillus sp. CH447_14T. RNAcentral describes it as "bacterial SSU rRNA". It matches the Rfam family "Bacterial small subunit ribosomal RNA", at positions 60 to 632 of the family's 1533-position model. The record is from RNAcentral. Lineage: Bacteria; Bacillati; Bacillota; Bacilli; Caryophanales; Bacillaceae.